This 334-nucleotide ribosomal RNA is filed under the name Bacillus sp. R-46013. Its description in RNAcentral is "bacterial SSU rRNA". It matches the Rfam family "Bacterial small subunit ribosomal RNA", at positions 153 to 472 of the family's 1533-position model. Lineage: Bacteria; Bacillati; Bacillota; Bacilli; Caryophanales; Bacillaceae. The record is from RNAcentral.
GAAACCGGAGCUAAUACCGGAUGACACAAAGGAACUCCUGUUCCUUUGUUGAAAGAUGGCUUCGGCUAUCACUUAUAGAUGGGCCCGCGGCGCAUUAGCUAGUUGGUGAGGUAACGGCUCACCAAGGCGACGAUGCGUAGCCGACCUGAGAGGGUGAUCGGCCACACUGGGACUGAGACACGGCCCAGACUCCUACGGGAGGCAGCAGUAGGGAAUCUUCCGCAAUGGACGAAAGUCUGACGGAGCAACGCCGCGUGAACGAUGAAGGCCUUCGGGUCGUAAAGUUCUGUUGUUAGGGAAGAACAAGUGCUAGUUGAAUAAGCUGGCACCUUGA